AUUGUCUAUAUGUACAGAUAUGUUUAUUGCACUUAUUAGUAAAUAAAUUGAUUAGUUGCGUAAUGAGUUUAAAUUUUAGCCAUUUUUUAAAGUUGAUAAUCAUAACGUACUUAAUUAAACAUGCGUGAUGUAAUUUGCAUAGCUAAAUUAAAUGCUCUUUUACUUUAGUUACUGCGCUAAGUGUUGCGCAGUUUGGUUUGUGCGCAGUUUUUCUUCUGCUCUGGAAUUUUGAGAUUGGAAUUUCCAGACUUAUUUUAAAAAGCGCGUUUUCGUUAUAAAUUUUUUUUACAUCUAAUCGUACCUAUCAAGUAGGUCAUAUUCAGUAUAAUCAAUUCAAUCGUUUUCAUUUUUUAUGUUUUAACAUGUCUAUUACCUUUAUUAAAUUUGUUUUUAAGCAUAUUUGUUUUUAUUUUUUAUAUCGAAUUAAUAGAAUGAAUCAGAUUGAAGAUGAAGUUGCUGAAUUACUAAGAAAUGAUGACAAUAUUGAAGCAAG
Long non-coding RNA from Hydra vulgaris (swiftwater hydra), 493 nucleotides. RefSeq lists it as uncharacterized. NCBI's taxonomy places the organism in Eukaryota, Metazoa, Cnidaria, Hydrozoa, Anthoathecata, Hydridae. The record is from RefSeq and is a predicted model, not a curated record.